This 1346-nucleotide ribosomal RNA is filed under the name uncultured bacterium. RNAcentral describes it as "partial 16S ribosomal RNA". It matches the Rfam family "Bacterial small subunit ribosomal RNA", at positions 28 to 1381 of the family's 1533-position model. The record is from RNAcentral.
GACGAACGCUGGCGGCGUGCUUAACACAUGCAAGUCGAACGGAAAGGCCCUGCUUUUGUGGGGUGCUCGAGUGGCGAACGGGUGAGUAACACGUGAGUAACCUGCCCUUGACUUUGGGAUAACUUCAGGGAACUGGGGCUAAUACCGGAUAGGAGCUCCUGCUGCAUGGUGGGGGUUGGAAAGUUUCGGCGGUUGGGGAUGGACUCGCGGCUUAUCAGCUUGUUGGUGGGGUAGUGGCUUACCAAGGCUUUGACGGGUAGCCGGCCUGAGAGGGUGACCGGCCACAUUGGGACUGAGAUACGGCCCAGACUCCUACGGGAGGCAGCAGUGGGGAAUAUUGCACAAUGGGCGGAAGCCUGAUGCAGCAACGCCGCGUGCGGGAUGACGGCCUUCGGGUUGUAAACCGCUUUCGCCUGUGACGAAGCGUGAGUGACGGUAAUGGGUAAAGAAGCACCGGCUAACUACGUGCCAGCAGCCGCGGUGAUACGUAGGGUGCGAGCGUUGUCCGGAUUUAUUGGGCGUAAAGGGCUCGUAGGUGGUUGAUCGCGUCGGAAGUGUAAUCUUGGGGCUUAACCCUGAGCGUGCUUUCGAUACGGGUUGACUUGAGGAAGGUAGGGGAGAAUGGAAUUCCUGGUGGAGCGGUGGAAUGCGCAGAUAUCAGGAGGAACACCAGUGGCGAAGGCGGUUCUCUGGGCCUUUCCUGACGCUGAGGAGCGAAAGCGUGGGGAGCGAACAGGCUUAGAUACCCUGGUAGUCCACGCUGUAAACGGUGGGUACUAGGUGUGGGGUCCAUUCCACGGGUUCCGUGCCGUAGCUAACGCUUUAAGUACCCCGCCUGGGGAGUACGGCCGCAAGGCUAAAACUCAAAGGAAUUGACGGGGCCCCGCACAAGCGGCGGAGCAUGCGGAUUAAUUCGAUGCAACGCGUAGAACCUUACCUGGGUUUGACAUGGAUCGGGAGUGCUCAGAGAUGGGUGUGCCUCUUUUGGGGUCGGUUCACAGGUGGUGCAUGGUUGUCGUCAGCUCGUGUCGUGAGAUGUUGGGUUAAGUCCCGCAACGAGCGCAACCCUUGUUCACUGUUGCCAGCACGUUAUGGUGGGGACUCAGUGGAGACCGCCGGGGUCAACUCGGAGGAAGGUGGGGAUGACGUCAAGUCAUCAUGCCCCUUAUGUCCAGGGCUUCACGCAUGCUACAAUGGCUGGUACAGAGAGUGGCGAGCCUGUGAGGGUGAGCGAAUCUCGGAAAGCCGGUCUCAGUUCGGAUUGGGGUCUGCAACUCGACCUCAUGAAGUCGGAGUCGCUAGUAAUCGCAGAUCAGCAACGCUGCGGUGAAUACGUUCCCGGGGCU